RNAcentral lists this ribosomal RNA (253 nucleotides) under uncultured bacterium. Its description in RNAcentral is "partial 16S ribosomal RNA". It matches the Rfam family "Bacterial small subunit ribosomal RNA", at positions 524 to 776 of the family's 1533-position model. The record is from RNAcentral.
UACGUAGGGGGCAAGCGUUGUCCGGAUUUAUUGGGCGUAAAGAGCGUGUAGGCGGUUUGGUAGGUCCGUUGUGAAAACUCGAGGCUCAACCUCGAGACGCCGAUGGAAACCAUCAGACUAGAGUCCGGAAGAGGAGAGUGGAAUUCCUGGUGUAGCGGUGAAAUGCGCAGAUAUCAGGAAGAACACCCAUGGCGAAGGCAGCUCUCUGGGACGGUACUGACGCUGAGACGCGAAAGCGUGGGGAGCGAACAGG